RNAcentral lists this ribosomal RNA (429 nucleotides) under Gemmatimonadota bacterium. RNAcentral's name for it is "Gemmatimonadetes bacterium partial 16S ribosomal RNA". It matches the Rfam family "Bacterial small subunit ribosomal RNA", at positions 355 to 776 of the family's 1533-position model. The record is from RNAcentral. Lineage: Bacteria; Pseudomonadati; Gemmatimonadota.
UAGGGAAUCUUCGGCAAUGGACGAAAGUCUGACCGAGCAACGCCGCGUGAGUGAAGAAGGUUUUCGGAUCGUAAAACUCUGUUGUUAGAGAAGAACAAGGACGUUAGUAACUGAACGUCCCCUGACGGUAUCUAACCAGAAAGCCACGGCUAACUACGUGCCAGCAGCCGCGGUAAUACGUAGGUGGCAAGCGUUGUCCGGAUUUAUUGGGCGUAAAGCGAGCGCAGGCGGUUUCUUAAGUCUGAUGGGAAAGCCCCCGGCUCAACCGGGGAGGGUCAUUGAAAACUGGGAGACUGGAGUGCAGAAGAGGAGGGUGGAAUUCCAUGUGUAGCGGUGAAAUGCGUAGAUAUAUGGAGGAACACCAGUGGCGAAGGCGGCUCUCUGGUCUGUAACUGACGCUGAGGCUCGAAAGCGUGGGGAGCAAACAGG